Molecule: transfer RNA, 114 nt
Organism: Daedalea quercina L-15889
Lineage: Eukaryota; Fungi; Basidiomycota; Agaricomycetes; Polyporales; Fomitopsidaceae
Rfam family: tRNA
About the family: Transfer RNA (tRNA) molecules are approximately 80 nucleotides in length.
Source: Rfam
GGCCGGCUAGCUUAGUUGGUAGAGCGUGGUGCUAAUAUUCGGGUUACUGGGGCUAUCGCCUUGAUUCCUGAGCUUGUUACGCCAAGGUCGUCGGUUCGAUCCCGGCGUUGGCCA